RNAcentral lists this ribosomal RNA (381 nucleotides) under uncultured Methanolinea sp. RNAcentral's name for it is "bacterial SSU rRNA". It matches the Rfam family "Archaeal small subunit ribosomal RNA", at positions 959 to 1338 of the family's 1478-position model. Lineage: Archaea; Methanobacteriati; Methanobacteriota; Methanomicrobia; Methanomicrobiales; Methanoregulaceae. The record is from RNAcentral.
CUGAAGACUCUGCUUGACUAGCUGAGAGGAGGUGCAUGGCCGUCGUCAGUUCGUACUGUGAAGCAUCCUGUUAAGUCAGGCAACGAGCGAGACCCACGCCAACAGUUGCCAGCAUGUCCUCCGGGAUGAUGGGGACACUGUUGGGACCGCCUCUGCUAAAGAGGAGGAAGGAAUGGGCAACGGUAGGUCAGCAUGCCCCGAAUUAUCCGGGCUACACGCGGGCUACAAUGGUCAGGACAAUGGGUAUCGACACCGAGAGGUGGAGGCAAUCUCCUAAACCUGUCCUUAGUUCGGAUUGUGGGCUGCAACUCGCCCACAUGAAGCUGGAAUCCGUAGUAAUCGCGUUUCAAAAUAGCGCGGUGAAUAUCGUCCCUGCUCCUU